Molecule: unclassified non-coding RNA, 265 nt
Filed under: Hevea brasiliensis (rubber tree)
Lineage: Eukaryota; Viridiplantae; Streptophyta; Magnoliopsida; Malpighiales; Euphorbiaceae
Source: RNAcentral
AUUUCCUUUGGGAAAUAGCAAUCCCUGUUGUGGACUGCGCUAUCUCAAUUCCCAAAAAGUAAUUGAAUUUGCCAAAUCUUUAGUUUAAAAGUGACUGAACAAAUGCUAUUUGAGCUGAAUGAUCCCAUCAUGGUUAUUUCCUGUUAUAACUGUGUCAUCAACAUAAACUACCAGAUAAUACAUUUGCUACCGAAUGAUUAGCUCCACCCCUACUCAUUCCAACUGCUGGAACAUAGUACUGAACCAUCCAAAUCAUGCCCUUGGA